AGAAAAUGAACAGAAAAUAAAAUUACAUGCAACGAAAAUGGAGAAAAAGAUUGCAAACAAAGCUUAAAAGAAUCUUUUGCGAGUGGCAAGCAUUUUACAUUGACAUUGACGAGCCAAAUAAUUAACGUGCGCUGCAUAUUAAAGAAUUAUUGCCAACACAAGUACCAUCUUCUACUUUUCAAACUCACUCCUCUCAUCUCAUCUUUGCCGGAAAGAGACCAUGGCUGAAAUGAU
Molecule: unclassified non-coding RNA, 234 nt
Filed under: Hevea brasiliensis (rubber tree)
Lineage: Eukaryota; Viridiplantae; Streptophyta; Magnoliopsida; Malpighiales; Euphorbiaceae
Source: RNAcentral